UACGUAGGGGGCGAGCGUUGUCCGGAAUUAUUGGGCGUAAAGAGCGUGUAGGCUGUUCGGUAAGUCUGCCGUGAAAGCCUGAGGCUCAACCUCGGGCGUGCGGUGGAUACUGCCGGGCUAGAGGACGGUAGAGGCAGGUGGAAUUCCCGGUGUAGCGGUGGAAUGCGUAGAGAUCGGGAAGAACAUCAGUGGCGAAGGCGGCCUGCUGGGCUGUUGCUGACGCUGAGGCGCGACAGCGUGGGGAGCAAACAGG
This 253-nucleotide ribosomal RNA is filed under the name uncultured bacterium. Its description in RNAcentral is "partial 16S ribosomal RNA". It matches the Rfam family "Bacterial small subunit ribosomal RNA", at positions 524 to 776 of the family's 1533-position model. The record is from RNAcentral.